Molecule: long non-coding RNA, 825 nt
Filed under: Pan troglodytes (chimpanzee)
Lineage: Eukaryota; Metazoa; Chordata; Mammalia; Primates; Hominidae
Description: long non-coding RNA NONPTRT017398
Source: RNAcentral
GUGCACUUCUGUAGUCCCAGCUACUUGGGAGGCUGAGGCAGGGGGAUUCCUUGAGCCCAAGAGGUUGAGGCUACAGUGAGCCAUCAUCGUGCCACUGCACUCCAGCCUGGGAAACAGAAUGAGACCCUGUCUCAAAACAAAACAUUUGAAAAAUAACAAGUUCAGGUGCAGUGGCUCAUACCUGUAAUCCCAGCACUUUGGGAGGCCAAAGUGGUCGGAUCACUUGAGGCCAGUAGUUCAUGACCAGCCUGGCCAACAUGGCAAAACCCCAUCUCUACUAAAAAUACAAAAAUUAGCUGGGUGUGGUGGCUGGCAACUGUAGUCCCAGCUACUCCGGAGGCUGAGGCAGGAAAAUCACUUGAACCCAGGAGGCGGAGGUUGAAGUGAGCCGAGAUCACACCACUGCACUCCAGCCUGGGCAACAGAGCAAGACUCCGUCUCCAAAAAUAACAAAAAAUAAACACAUGCCUUCCUUCCUACUGCUGCACAACCUCACUGUGUCAGGCAGGUGAGUGGACCCCAGUUAGGUUCUAUAACACCUGGGCGAGGGUUUUUAGUAUGGUAAUAAGACUUAGCCACAUUUUGUAUCCAUCUCAGGCAUCUCUGGAUCCAGCUGGUUUUUGUUUUGCUGAGGCUCGGCUUCUUCCUGGAACUUUUUGAAACAACACUCAAGGGUCUCAAAUGGCUGACAUGAUGGUCUGUGACCUGAAAGUUGUUGAAUAGUUGGAGUGUUCUGCAUUCAUGUGGAAGAGGCUAAAGGAUGUUUGAUGAAGCACUAUGGGCUGCCCUGGAAGAGGACUGAAGAAGCAGCUGCAGGAAAGAAAC